RNAcentral lists this ribosomal RNA (781 nucleotides) under Neocladia sp. D2439. Its description in RNAcentral is "SSU rRNA". It matches the Rfam family "Eukaryotic small subunit ribosomal RNA", at positions 477 to 1206 of the family's 1831-position model. The record is from RNAcentral. Lineage: Eukaryota; Metazoa; Arthropoda; Insecta; Hymenoptera; Encyrtidae.
UAACGAUACGGGACUCAUCCGAGGCCCCGUAAUCGGAAUGAGUACACUUUAAAUCCUUUAACGAGGAUCAAUUGGAGGGCAAGUCUGGUGCCAGCAGCCGCGGUAAUUCCAGCUCCAAUAGCGUAUAUUAAAGUUGUUGCGGUUAAAAAGCUCGUAGUUGAAUUUGUGUGCCACGCUGUCGGUUCAUCGCUCGCGAUGUUUAACUGACAUGAUUGUGGGACGUCCUACCGGUGGGCUUGCCGCGGUCUGGCAACGGGCCGUGGCGGCCCAACUGAUAUCCCAUCGCGGUGCUCUUCAUCGAGUGUCGAGGUGGGCCGGUACGUUUACUUUGAACAAAUUAGAGUGCUCAAAGCAGGCUAUUUUCGCCUGAAUACUGCGUGCAUGGAAUAAUGGAAUAGGACCUCGGUUCUAUUUUGUUGGUUUUCGGAACCCCGAGGUAAUGAUUAAUAGGGACAGAUGGGGGCAUUCGUAUUGCGACGUUAGAGGUGAAAUUCUUGGAUCGUCGCAAGACGGACAGAAGCGAAAGCAUUUGCCAAAAAUGUUUUCAUUAAUCAAGAACGAAAGUUAGAGGUUCGAAGGCGAUCAGAUACCGCCCUAGUUCUAACCAUAAACGAUGCCAGCUAGCGAUCCGCCGAAGUUCCUCCGAUGACUCGGCGGGCAGCUUCCGGGAAACCAAAGCUUUUGGGUUCCGGGGGAAGUAUGGUUGCAAAGCUGAAACUUAAAGGAAUUGACGGAAGGGCACCACCAGGAGUGGAGCCUGCGGCUUAAUUUGACUCAACAC